RNAcentral lists this small RNA (38 nucleotides) under Litonotus pictus. Its description in RNAcentral is "partial Mitochondrion-encoded tmRNA". The record is from RNAcentral. Lineage: Eukaryota; Ciliophora; Litostomatea; Pleurostomatida; Litonotidae.
UUUCCACUCUAAGUAAUAUUCAAGGGAAUAAAAAUAGU